UUUAUACAUACAAAUAUAUGUAUAUAUAUAUAUAUAUAUUUUUUUUUUGAAGAUGAAAGAAUGGAAAGGUAUGAACGAUACUCAGAAGGGAAGAGGAACGAUGUAGAACAUAAACACGCUGAAAUUUAUAUUAUAAUAGGCAUUUUGUUUACAUUCACAAUAGUUUUUUUAAUAUGUAUUUAUCUCCCAUUUAACACAAACAUGGAUGAUGAAUUUUAUGAUGAAAACGAAAUUAAUGAAAAGGUUCAAUUAGUUUCUUGCUUUUAUAAUCCAAUUAUGAAAAGAUAUGAAUAUUUAACGGACAAUUUUACUCCUCCAAGUCCACAGCAGUUAUAUUAUUUUUAUAAAAAUAAAAUACCCAAUAUGUCCAUAAACGAUGAUAUCCUAAAGCUAAAUAGUUUUGAAAUUUUAAAGUUGCCCAAAAACCGAGCUAAAAAAUGUAGACUGGUAUACGAUGAAAAAACAGGAGAACUAAUUUUUUUAAAAAAAAAAAAAGAACGAGAAGACGUAAUACAUACGAUUAAACAUGAAGUAAAAAUUAAACAGUUAAAAUGAAUAUUAUGUACAGGAUAAUAAAAAAAAAAAAAAAAAAAAAAAAAAAUAAAAG
Molecule: long non-coding RNA, 607 nt
Filed under: Piliocolobus tephrosceles (Ugandan red Colobus)
Lineage: Eukaryota; Metazoa; Chordata; Mammalia; Primates; Cercopithecidae
Description: lncRNA (ENSPTEG00000004732.1)
Source: RNAcentral